RNAcentral lists this ribosomal RNA (1362 nucleotides) under Salmonella enterica subsp. indica. RNAcentral describes it as "partial 23S ribosomal RNA". It matches the Rfam family "Bacterial large subunit ribosomal RNA", at positions 1460 to 2800 of the family's 2925-position model. Lineage: Bacteria; Pseudomonadati; Pseudomonadota; Gammaproteobacteria; Enterobacterales; Enterobacteriaceae. The record is from RNAcentral.
UGCGAAGGGGGGACGGAGAAGGCUAUGUUGGCCGGGCGACGGUUGUCCCGGUUUAAGCGUGUAGGCUGGUUUUCCAGGCAAAUCCGGAAAAUCAAGGCUGAGGCGUGACGACGAGGCACCACGGUGCUGAAGCAACAAAUGCCCUGCUUCCAGGAAAAGCCUCUAAGCAUCAGGUAACACGAAAUCGUACCCCAAACCGACACAGGUGGUCAGGUAGAGAAUACCAAGGCGCUUGAGAGAACUCGGGUGAAGGAACUAGGCAAAAUGGUGCCGUAACUUCGGGAGAAGGCACGCUGACACGUAGGUGAAGUGAUUUACUCAUGGAGCUGAAGUCAGUCGAAGAUACCAGCUGGCUGCAACUGUUUAUUAAAAACACAGCACUGUGCAAACACGAAAGUGGACGUAUACGGUGUGACGCCUGCCCGGUGCCGGAAGGUUAAUUGAUGGGGUUAUCCUCGCGGAGAAGCUCCUGAUCGAAGCCCCGGUAAACGGCGGCCGUAACUAUAACGGUCCUAAGGUAGCGAAAUUCCUUGUCGGGUAAGUUCCGACCUGCACGAAUGGCGUAAUGAUGGCCAGGCUGUCUCCACCCGAGACUCAGUGAAAUUGAACUCGCUGUGAAGAUGCAGUGUACCCGCGGCAAGACGGAAAGACCCCGUGAACCUUUACUAUAGCUUGACACUGAACAUUGAGCCUUGAUGUGUAGGAUAGGUGGGAGGCUUUGAAGCGUGGACGCCAGUCUGCGUGGAGCCAACCUUGAAAUACCACCCUUUAAUGUUUGAUGUUCUAACGUGGACCCGUUACCCGGGUUGCGGACAGUGUCUGGUGGGUAGUUUGACUGGGGCGGUCUCCUCCCAAAGAGUAACGGAGGAGCACGAAGGUUGGCUAAUCCUGGUCGGACAUCAGGAGGUUAGUGCAAUGGCAUAAGCCAGCUUGACUGCGAGCGUGACGGCGCGAGCAGGUGCGAAAGCAGGUCAUAGUGAUCCGGUGGUUCUGAAUGGAAGGGCCAUCGCUCAACGGAUAAAAGGUACUCCGGGGAUAACAGGCUGAUACCGCCCAAGAGUUCAUAUCGACGGCGGUGUUUGGCACCUCGAUGUCGGCUCAUCACAUCCUGGGGCUGAAGUAGGUCCCAAGGGUAUGGCUGUUCGCCAUUUAAAGUGGUACGCGAGCUGGGUUUAGAACGUCGUGAGACAGUUCGGUCCCUAUCUGCCGUGGGCGCUGGAGAACUGAGGGGGGCUGCUCCUAGUACGAGAGGACCGGAGUGGACGCAUCACUGGUGUUCGGGUUGUCAUGCCAAUGGCACUGCCCGGUAGCUAAAUGCGGAAGAGAUAAGUGCUGAAAGCAUCUAAGCACGAAACUUGCCCC